AGUGAACGCUGGCGGUAGGCCUAACACAUGCAAGUCGAACGGCAGCACAGUAAGAGCUUGCUCUUACGGGUGGCGAGUGGCGGACGGGUGAGGAAUACAUCGGAAUCUACUUUUUCGUGGGGGAUAACGUAGGGAAACUUACGCUAAUACCGCAUACGACCUACGGGUGAAAGCAGGGGAUCUUCGGACCUUGCGCGAUUGAUUGAGCCGAUGUCGGAUUAGCUAGUUGGCGGGGUAAAGGCCCACCAAGGCGACGAUCCGUAGCUGGUCUGAGAGGAUGAGCAGCCACACUGGAACUGAGACACGGUCCAGACUCCUACGGGAGGCAGCAGUGGGGAAUAUUGGACAAUGGGCGCAAGCCUGAUCCAGCCAUGCCGCGUGGGUGAAGAAGGCCUUCGGGUUGUAAAGCCCUUUUGUUGGGAAAGAAAAGCAGCAGGUUAAUACCCCGCUGUUCUGACGGUACCCAAAGAAUAAGCACCGGCUAACUUCGUG
This 492-nucleotide ribosomal RNA is filed under the name uncultured bacterium. RNAcentral describes it as "partial 16S ribosomal RNA". It matches the Rfam family "Bacterial small subunit ribosomal RNA", at positions 29 to 507 of the family's 1533-position model. The record is from RNAcentral.